CCUACGGGUGGCAGCAGUGGGGGAUAUUGCACAAUGGGGGAAACCCUGAUGCAGCGACGCCGCGUGGGUGAAGAAGCGCCUCGGCGCGUAAAGCCCUGUCAGCAGGGAAGAAAAUGACGGUACCUGAAGAAGAAGCCCCGGCUAACUACGUGCCAGCAGCCGCGGUAAUACGUAGGGGGCAAGCGUUAUCCGGAUUUACUGGUUGUAAAGGGGGCGCAGACGGCGAUGCAAGCCAGGAGGGAAAGCCCGGGGCCCAACCCCGGGACUGCUAUUGGAACUGCGUGGCUAGAGUGCAGGAGGGGCAGGCGGAAGUCCUGGUGUAGCGGUGAAAUGCGUAGAUAUCAGGAGGAACACCGGUGGCGAAGGCGGCCUGCUGGACUGCAACUGACGUUGAGGCCCGAAAGCGUGGGGAGCAAACAGGAUUAGAUACCCCAGAAGUC
This 440-nucleotide ribosomal RNA is filed under the name uncultured bacterium. RNAcentral describes it as "partial 16S ribosomal RNA". It matches the Rfam family "Bacterial small subunit ribosomal RNA", at positions 338 to 795 of the family's 1533-position model. The record is from RNAcentral.